UACGAAGGGGGCUAGCGUUGCUCGGAAUCACUGGGCGUAAAGGGCGCGUAGGCGGCGUUUUUAAGUCGGGGGUGGAAGCCUGUGGCUCAACCACAGAAUGGCCUCGAUACUGGGACGCUUGAGUAUGGUAGAGGUUGGUGGAACUGCGAGUGUAGAGGUGAAAUUCGUAGAUAUUCGCAAGAACACCGGUGGCGAAGGCGGCCAACUGGACCAUUACUGACGCUGAGGCGCGAAAGCGUGGGGAGCGAACAGG
RNAcentral lists this ribosomal RNA (253 nucleotides) under uncultured bacterium. RNAcentral's name for it is "partial 16S ribosomal RNA". It matches the Rfam family "Bacterial small subunit ribosomal RNA", at positions 524 to 776 of the family's 1533-position model. The record is from RNAcentral.